GAUGAACGCUGGCGGCGUGCCUAAUACAUGCAAGUCGAGCGAACGGACGAGAAGCUUGCUUCUCUGAUGUUAGCGGCGGACGGGUGAGUAACACGUGGAUAACCUACCUAUAAGACUGGGAUAACUUCGGGAAACCGGAGCUAAUACCGGAUGAUAUUUUGAACCGCAUGGUUCAAAAGUGAAAGACGGUCUUGCUGUCACUUAUAGAUGGAUCCGCGCUGCAUUAGCUAGUUGGUAAGGUAACGGCUUACCAAGGCAACGAUGCAUAGCCGACCUGAGAGGGUGAUCGGCCACACUGGAACUGAGACACGGUCCAGACUCCUACGGGAGGCAGCAGUAGGGAAUCUUCCGCAAUGGGCGAGAGCCUGACGGAACAACGCCGCGUGAGUGAUGAAGGUCUUCGGAUCGUAAAACUCUGUUAUUAGGGAAGAACAUAUGUGUAAGUAACUGUGCACAUCUUGACGGUACCUAAUCAGAAAGCCACGGCUAACUACGUG
This 497-nucleotide ribosomal RNA is filed under the name uncultured bacterium. RNAcentral describes it as "partial 16S ribosomal RNA". It matches the Rfam family "Bacterial small subunit ribosomal RNA", at positions 28 to 507 of the family's 1533-position model. The record is from RNAcentral.